GAUGAAGAACGUAGCGAAAUGCGAUAAGUAAUGUGAAUUGCAGAAUUCAGUGAAUCAUCGAAUCUUUGAACGCACAUUGCGCCCGCCAGCAUUCUGGCGGGCAUGCCUGUUCGAGCGUCAUUUCUACCCUCGAGCCCCCCCGGGGGCCUCGGUGUUGGGGGACGGCACACCAGCCGCCCCCGAAAUGCAGUGGCGACCCCGCCGCAGCCUCCCCUGCGUAGUAGCACACACCUCGCACCGGAGCGCGGAGGCGGUCACGCCGUAAAACGCCCAACUUUCUUAGAGUUGACCUCGGAUCAGGUAGGAAUACCCGCUGAACUUAAGCAUAUCAAUAAGCGGAGGA
RNAcentral lists this unclassified non-coding RNA (343 nucleotides) under soil metagenome. Its description in RNAcentral is "partial contains 5.8S ribosomal RNA, internal transcribed spacer 2, and large subunit ribosomal RNA". The stretch from base 1 to 120 matches the Rfam family "5.8S ribosomal RNA", at positions 35 to 154 of the family's 154-position model. The record is from RNAcentral.